Molecule: microRNA precursor, 138 nt
Filed under: Microtus ochrogaster (prairie vole)
Lineage: Eukaryota; Metazoa; Chordata; Mammalia; Rodentia; Cricetidae
Description: miRNA (ENSMOCG00000007460.1)
Source: RNAcentral
GGGAUUAAAGGCGUGCGCCACCACCGCCCGGCCCAAGUACUGGGAUUAAAGGUGUGUGCCACCACCACAGGGCGUGCAUACACAUUUUCAAAAGCAGAAAAUAAGCCGGGUAGUGGUGGCACAUGCUUUUAAUCCCAG